Molecule: non-coding RNA, 704 nt
Organism: Paramuricea clavata
Lineage: Eukaryota; Metazoa; Cnidaria; Anthozoa; Malacalcyonacea; Plexauridae
Source: the annotation of a GenBank genome assembly
GUUAAUUUGAAAUAAUAUUCCACUGCAUGUCCUGUGUGUAAGACUGGCUUAUUCUUACAUGCAGCAAAAAAAUUUACCUUCCUGUAGACUGCAGUCUUUUGUUCUCAACAUUAUGAUGUCAUGAAUGAUGAGUGACUCAGUGUCUUACCUUAAGAUAUCCUUAAUAUUGGAUAUUACUUUAUUUAUUUCUACCAUGAAUUUAAACCAGAAAAAAUAGGGGGAAAAUACAUUAACUUAGUAUUAAUUUUUAUUAAUUGUAUUUUUGCAUAAUAAGGCACAAAGCUAAGGCAGGACUGUUAUGAAUGUAAGGUGGCCAAAGUUUUGCCAAGGCAUGUUCUCACAAUUUUCCAAAAUCAAUCAGGCCCUCUAAGUUUAUCAAGCUUAGUUAAAAUGGGUAGUUCUACAGUAAAUGUAAAAUGGGUAAUUGUAAAACUUAAAAUGGGCAGUUCUGAAAUCCAGUUUUUGAGCUUUAUAUGAAAAUUAAUUAUACAUUAAGCAUCUAUACAGGAUAUUUAAGCAAAAGUAAAUCCAUCUUUGCCAUGGCAAAAAUGUCUCAUUGAAGGGGAGUUUCUGGCGCAGUGAUUAAUGCAUGAACCUUGUCUGCCACAUAGUUAGCCUGUGUUCACUACCUCUGUUCUUGUCGAAAUGGGCAGUUCUAAAAUUUUCUUAGGAUGACCCCUGCAUAAACAUACUAUGCAAGUACA